RNAcentral lists this long non-coding RNA (1195 nucleotides) under Chinchilla lanigera (long-tailed chinchilla). Its description in RNAcentral is "lncRNA (ENSCLAG00000024465.1)". Lineage: Eukaryota; Metazoa; Chordata; Mammalia; Rodentia; Chinchillidae. The record is from RNAcentral.
GAGGUGGACUGUUAAAUUAAGCUGUGCUGUCAAUUUGAUUUACUUGUUUCAAGUAUUUUGCCCAGCAAUGAGAAAGCUAUCUAAUACAAUGUGUCAAGCAGAAAUGGAAAAAGCAGAAACUAUGAAAAUUCAGGUGUGAGGCACUAUUGCUCCAAAGCUACAAGCAUGGAGGCUGAGGGGUAAUAAUGAGGUGAAAAUCAGAACAAGUUUAGCCAUAGAAGGUUGAAGAAUAUUAAUAGGUGGCCCAAAGUCUUAUUUUUUUACAAAAAUGGGAAGUUAGCUGCAGAACCUCAGUACCCUCAAAUGUCAUUGGGAAGGGAUAGAAUAUAUCCUGCCCGCCGCACCCCCCCUUGCUGAAGUAUUAAUUUGCCCUUUCUCUGCUGUCUCAUAAGCAUUUAUAUCAACGUUCACAAGCUUUCAGCUCUGAUUUAGGAGGCAGUUCUUCAAAGACAGAGUAAAGAUCUUCAAUUUCUUCUUCAUCCCUGUCCAGCACUCUGCACAAGAGCUGGUGUUCAAUAAAUGUUUUUGGAACUCAGAUAUGAGGGAUGAGCAAAAUGCCUUGAAUGAAAUAUGUUGUUGUUGUUUUUUCUUUUUCCUGGAUCCCAGACAGAAAAUGCCCAUUUGCUGGUCAUCGAGCUGGGGACAAGCUCUGCAGGUGAUGUGGGCAUGUACUCCAGGACCGUACCGCCAAGGACUCUACAGCCUAGAAGGCGCUGCGGUCAGGGUUUCCCUCGCAGGGGCUGAACAUCGCACCUCCCACCUCUAUCCCCUACCAAGAGGCCAGCAACCGUUCAUGUCCUUGUAAUCUUUAUAUACUUAAGACCCAGGGAGAAGGGGGAAAAAGCACCAUUCGUGCUAAGGGAUAGUGAGCUUUCUUAGCUCCAACUGUUCACCUUCAACUAUUGACUUGGCAGCUGAAUCAAAUUCAAAUAAAGCUGCAGUGAUUUGGUACAAUAAAGUGUGCCCCAUAAUUUAAAGCACUCAAGAGGUGUGGAAAGUUUCCAGGGGCAGCUGACCUCAUUUAUGUUUCCACUUUGGCUCAGAGUGAGUUGAGUCACUCCUUACUGAGGGACGUACGGUUAAGGCCAGCCCGAAAGGUUUCAGUCAAGGAAUGUGCAGUCUUUCACGUUGCUCCUUCAUUCCCAUAGUUUGUAAAAUCCAAUCCUUCCUGUAAAACAAUGAAUCAACAUCUCAG